AUUAGUUUGGCAGAAAUAAUGUGAUAAAUUUAGGAUUUAUAUAUGGUUACUACCAACUAAAA
RNAcentral lists this transfer RNA (62 nucleotides) under Microceramus pontificus. RNAcentral's name for it is "tRNA-Leu". Lineage: Eukaryota; Metazoa; Mollusca; Gastropoda; Stylommatophora; Urocoptidae. The record is from RNAcentral.